UAGCACGUCCUCAUCGACGAGCCGACAUGGAGACUGGCACACGCCAGCCAGCUAGUGGCAUGAAGUGGCAAUCACCGAGCCGACUGUCGUACAUUGAGAGAGCUUUCGUUAGGGACGCGACCGCAACGGGUCACGAGCCUUUAUCAUUUGCAACAUCCGAAACCAAUAGUGCGAGCGAGGUGGCCUUGGAAGCACCGGGCACGUAGGGCACCAGCACCACGAGGCAACGCCGCACGAACUAUUAGGCCGCAGCGGAACUCCCUUGGGGGUCCACAGCGAGGCAACCGUGUAUGAAGCACAACUUCCCGUAGUUUGGGUACCAGCAUGCAAGCACUCGUCGAUGGAGCGGAAUGGUUAGAACCGCAAGAAUGAUAGGAUAUCGGCGCCAGUAGUCGGCCGCACAUCGGCGGGGGUCCUGCUGGCAGACACGAGUCCAAGACAACUCAUGCGCUCGCGUAGCCAACUG
Molecule: unclassified non-coding RNA, 466 nt
Filed under: Nassella neesiana
Lineage: Eukaryota; Viridiplantae; Streptophyta; Magnoliopsida; Poales; Poaceae
Description: partial external transcribed spacer 1
Source: RNAcentral